RNAcentral lists this small nuclear RNA (107 nucleotides) under Myotis davidii. The record is from RNAcentral. Lineage: Eukaryota; Metazoa; Chordata; Mammalia; Chiroptera; Vespertilionidae.
GUGCUCACUUCGGCAGCACAUAUACUAAAAUUAGAACGAUACAGAGAAGAUUAGCAUGGCCCCUGUGCAAGGAUGACAUGCAAAUUUGUGAAGAGUUCCAUAUUUAA